AACGAACGCUGGCGGCAUGCCUAACACAUGCAAGUCGAACGAGACCUUCGGGUCUAGUGGCGCACGGGUGCGUAACGCGUGGGAACCUGCCCUUAGGUUCGGAAUAACUCCCCGAAAGGGGUGCUAAUACCGGAUAAUGUCUUCGGACCAAAGAUUUAUCGCCUUUGGAUGGGCCCGCGUUGGAUUAGCUAGUUGGUAGGGUAUAAGCCUACCAAGGCGACGAUCCAUAGCUGGUCUGAGAGGAUGAUCAGCCACACUGGGACUGAGACACGGCCCAGACUCCUACGGGAGGCAGCAGUGGGGAAUAUGGGACAAUGGGCGAAAGCCUGAUCCAGCAAUGCCGCGUGAGUGAUGAAGGCCUUAGGGUUGUAAAGCUCUUUUACCCGGGAUGAUAAUGACAGUACCGGGAGAAUAAGCUCCGGCUAACUCCGU
Molecule: ribosomal RNA, 432 nt
Filed under: uncultured bacterium
Lineage: Bacteria
Description: partial 16S ribosomal RNA
Rfam family: Bacterial small subunit ribosomal RNA
Source: RNAcentral